This 629-nucleotide long non-coding RNA is filed under the name Capra hircus (goat). Its description in RNAcentral is "lncRNA (ENSCHIG00000004677.1)". Lineage: Eukaryota; Metazoa; Chordata; Mammalia; Artiodactyla; Bovidae. The record is from RNAcentral.
CUGACAUCCGACGUGGGGUAGCUCUUGGCCGCGCUUAGUGCGCCGGCCCGCCGCCGCUGCCUGCGCUUAGUGCGCCCCUGAGCUGCUAUUUUAUAUGCAGUAAUAUGUGUAUUAAAUACGUCGAUCCCAAUCUCCCAGUUUGUCCUUCCCCACUUGCUGGCUGUCUCAGAAAGAAAUGGUAAAAACAAAUCUCUCAGAAGUUAAUCAGCCUCACUGUCUGGGGACCAUCCAUCCAGAGGACAUGUCAGGACAGGGCGGAAAUAAAAAUGUGCUUUGUGGAACAGAGAGAACAAUAUGAUGGAUUCAUGGAUAACUCUCACGCUUGCUGUCAUGCAGCCAUGAAGGAAGAGGGUAAUAUUGGAAUUGUACUAAAGUGUACUGGAUUUGACUGAAUGGCUGGUAGGCAGUAAUUCUUCCCAGCCCCGUGAAUCCCAGCAAUCCAUCAAGGAGCAUUACUGGCGAAAAUGACAAAAAAAUGUCAUAAACCUUCCUUUCAUUUGAUUCCUGUUGAUGUGAGGACUCCUGCAGUUUAAGCAGAUUAUGCUCCUGAACUGGAGCUUGGUUGAAUGAUUAAAAGAUAAAACACUUCCAUUUAAAUCUUUACCUAAAUUUAUCAGCCUGGAUUUUCU